RNAcentral lists this ribosomal RNA (253 nucleotides) under uncultured bacterium. RNAcentral describes it as "partial 16S ribosomal RNA". It matches the Rfam family "Bacterial small subunit ribosomal RNA", at positions 524 to 776 of the family's 1533-position model. The record is from RNAcentral.
UACGUAGGGGGCAAGCGUUGUCCGGAAUUAUUGGGCGUAAAGCGCGCGCAGGCGGCCUAUUAAGUCUGAUGUGAAAGCCCACGGCUCAACCGUGGAGGGCCAUUGGAAACUGGUAGGCUUGAGUGCAGGAGAGGAGAGCGGAAUUCCUGGUGUAGCGGUGAAAUGCGUAGAUAUCAGGAGGAACACCAGCGGCGAAGGCGGCGCUCUGGGCCGGAACUGACGCUGAGGAGCGAAAGCGUGGGUAGCAAACAGG